AUGAUCAGCCACAUGGGGACUGAGACACGGCCCAGACUCAUACGGGAGGCAGCAGUGGGGAAUUUUGGACAAUGGGGGCAACCCUGAUCCAGCCAUGCCGCGUGAGUGAAGAAGGCCUUCGGGUUGUAAAGCUCUUUCGGUAGGAACGAAACGGUUACGGCUAAUACCUGUGACUAAUGACGGUACUUACAGAAGAAGCACCGGCUAACUACGUGCCAGCAGCCGCGGUAAUACGUAGGGUGCGAGCGUUAAUCGGAAUUACUGGGCGUAAAGGGUGCGCAGGCGGUCUCGUAAGCUGGGUGUGAAAGCCCCGGGCUUAACCUGGGAAUGGCAUUCAGGACUGCGAGGCUUUGAGUGCGGCAGAGGGAGGUGGAAUUCCACGUGUAGCAGUGAAAUGCGUAGAGAUGUGGAGGAACACCGAUGGCGAAGGCAGCCUCCUGGGCCAGCACUGACGCUCAUGCACGAAAGCGUGGGGAGCAAACAGGAUUAGAUACCCUGGUAGUCCACGCCCUAAACGAUGUCAACUGGUUGUUGGUGGGGUUAAACCCAUUAGUAACGAAGCUAACGCGUGAAGUUGACCGCCUGGGGAGUACGGCCGCAAGGUUAAAACUCAAAGGAAUUGACG
Molecule: ribosomal RNA, 625 nt
Filed under: uncultured beta proteobacterium
Lineage: Bacteria; Pseudomonadati; Pseudomonadota; Betaproteobacteria
Description: SSU rRNA
Rfam family: Bacterial small subunit ribosomal RNA
Source: RNAcentral